RNAcentral lists this ribosomal RNA (468 nucleotides) under uncultured bacterium. RNAcentral's name for it is "partial 16S ribosomal RNA". It matches the Rfam family "Bacterial small subunit ribosomal RNA", at positions 28 to 507 of the family's 1533-position model. The record is from RNAcentral.
GACGAACGCUGGCGGCGUGCUUAACACAUGCAAGUCGAACGGAAAGGCCCUGCUUUUGUGGGGUGCUCGAGUGGCGAACGGGUGAGUAACACGUGAGUAACCUGCCCUUGACUUUGGGAUAACUUCAGGAAACUGGGGCUAAUACCGGAUAGGAGCUCCUGCUGCAUGGUGGGGGUUGGAAAGUUUCGGCGGUUGGGGCUGGACUCGCGGCUUAUCAGCUUGUUGGGGGGGUAGUGGCUUACCAAGGCUUUGACGGGUAGCCGGCCUGAGAGCGUGACCGGCGACAUUGGGACUGAGAGACGGCCCAGAAUCCUACGGGAGGCAGCAGUGGGGAACAUUGCACAACGGGCGGAAGCCUGAUGCAGCAACGCCGCGUGCGGGAUGACGGCCUUCGGGGUGUAAACCGCUGUCGCCGGUGACGAAGCGUGAGUGACGGUAAUGGGUAAAGAAGCACCGGCUAACUACGUG